GAUGAACGCUGGCGGCGUGCCUAAUACAUGCAAGUCGAGCGAACAGACGAGGAGCUUGCUCCUCUGACGUUAGCGGCGGACGGGUGAGUAACACGUGGAUAACCUACCUAUAAGACUGGGAUAACUUCGGGAAACCGGAGCUAAUACCGGAUAAUAUAUUGAACCGAAUGGUUAAUUAGUGAAAGACGGUUUUGCUGUACCUUAUAGAUGGAUCCGCGCCGCAUUAGCUAGUUGGUAAGGUAACGGCUUACCAAGGCGACGAUGCGUAGCCGACCUGAGAGGGUGAUCGGCCACACUGGAACUGAGACACGGUCCAGACUCCUACGGGAGGCAGCAGUAGGGAAUCUUCCGCAAUGGGCGAAAGCCUGACGGAGCAACGCCGCGUGAGUGAUGAAGGUCUUCGGAUCGUAAAACUCUGUUAUUAGGGAAGAACAAAUGUGUAAGUAACUAUGCACGUCUUGACGGUACCUAAUCAGAAAGCCACGGCUAACUACGUG
RNAcentral lists this ribosomal RNA (497 nucleotides) under uncultured bacterium. RNAcentral's name for it is "partial 16S ribosomal RNA". It matches the Rfam family "Bacterial small subunit ribosomal RNA", at positions 28 to 507 of the family's 1533-position model. The record is from RNAcentral.